CAGGCAUCGAGGUUACCUGUGAGAACACAUCAAUCAGCCAAGGCUACACUGAAGGGCGUGAAGCUUCCCAGAAAGCUGCUCAAAGGUGGCAGAAUUUAAGAAAGCCAGGAAAUGCCACCUGUGGAAGGAGCCGGGGGAACCCCAUCCUGAAAUACCGGGGACGCCGGGCAUCUAAGUCUGGGUUUGCUGAGGGCAGACUUCAGCUGUAAUUUUUUGGUAAUUUUUUGGUUUUAACUAAUGUUCUGUGGUUAUUCAGGAUGACCGCCAUCGAGGCUGAAAGGACACGCUACAGUCUUUUCAACGUGUUCCUAGAUUGAAAGUUAUCUCUCAGACAGCGUGUGUUGAGGGAGACGGUCUGUGAUUUCAUGGAGUUGGCUGAGCUGGUGAAAAGAGAAGGCCUGUGUAUCCACGGACAGAGGCAAUUGAAAACGAAUCCAAAAGGAUUUUUGUAAUGUAAAGAGCUGCAAGCCACAAUUACCAGCUGAACCUGAAAGUCCUUCCGCCACGCUGGAGUUUCACAACAAUGAAUCAAUUAUUCCUCAACCACCAGGCAGGCUGGCCCUGAAGAAGCCCCCACCUCCAAUAUCAGGAAUGUCCUUCCUCAGGCGUGAGUGCCUCUCCUGGGUCCUUCACAUCACACUGUGGGCUCUGGAUACUAAAAGGUCUUUGUCUUUUGCCAAGAUAUGAAUUCUACGUUUCCGCUUCUCUAAGACCCACCAGCUCUUCGAAAGUGGCUCUCCUCAAGUUAACCACUCUUAGGCCUGUCCCGGUGGCCACUUGACACCAGUGCCCAUUGGCUGACUGCCCACCAGUUGGCCGAUGAGCUGGGAGUCUCACAGGGACAGCUUCAAGGUCUCCAGGCACCAGCAAACCAAGCUCCGUGCACAUGGUGGACAUUUUAAACACUUUCAGAACACCAGACAGUGUGACGUGCGACUCAUGAGCCCAUUGUCUUCCCAUGCACUUGAGGUGGCCCCUCCCUCACACCCAACUCCUUCUUGUCUGCCUUGUGCCCCAGAGGGUGGUGGGGCUGGGGACACGGACAUGGGCUUGGAGUUCUAUGAGGGAAUGAGCGCUGGGCUCACAGGCUGCUCUCAGGUGUUUUCAAGUCCCUUGACCCCAGGUAUGUGACUCUAGCUUGGCGGGGGGGGGGUAGGUAGGGAGAAGGAGAAUGGAUUUUUACUCUUUGGCUCUGUGGGGUACCUACCACCCAGCUCCCAAAUAAUUACACAAUAGUCUUAUUAUUACUUAUAAAUGCCCGGCCUUAGCCUGGCUUGUUUCUAGCUAGCUUUCUUAAUUUAAAUUAGCCCAUCUACCUUUUACCUCUGGGCUUUGUUUUGUUUUAUUUUGGUUUUGUAGUUGUUGUUGUUGUUGUUGUUUUUCAAGACAGGGUUUCCCUGUGUAGCUCUUUGUAGACCAGGCUGGUCUUGAACUCACAGAGAUUUGCCUGCCUCUGCCUUCCAAGUACUGCCGCCGCCACCACCCACCUCUGGGCUUUUACCUUUCUCUUUUUUUGGGUAUCUUUUCUUUGUUUCUUAUUCCGUGUCUGGCUGUGUGUUUGGGUGGCUGCCCCAGCAUCCUCCUCUCCUUUUCUCACUCCUCAAUGUCUCUUCCCAGAGUUCUCCUCUUAUUUAUUCUCUCUGCCUUCCAGCCCCGCCUAUCCUUUCUCCUGCCUGGCUGUUGGCUGUUCCCCUCUUUGUUAGACCAAUCAGGUGUUUUAGACAGGCAAAGUAACACAGCUUCACAGAGUUAAACAAAUGCAACAUAAAAGAAUUCAGCACAUCUUUGCAUAUUAAACAAAUACUCCACAGCCUAAAUAAACCUGACACAUCUUUAACUAAUAUUCUACAACAAGGUAGAGGGUGGCUCAGCCUGGAACCUGUGAUCCUGACCUGAACAGGUUGGGGGUGGCUGCCUCAGCAUCAUUGGCACCGGGGACAUUCACGUUCUACACACUUCUUCCAUUUUCUCCUGCAUCCAAGGCACCAACAAUGUCACAGGUGAGUGACCUGACUUGGGAACACAGAAGACUAUGCAGACAUGGAGGAUGGAGCACUCUUUGCUGAGUGAGAGUAUAGGGAGAAUGUCCCAGGGCUCAUAGAAGUCCACACAACUGAUGCUAAGACCACAUGGGAAUGGAGACAGUACCCAUCCCCAAACGACACCAGGCAGAGACACACAAGGGGCCCGUUUCUCUCUCCCUUUGACUUGAACAUCGCAUCCUUACAGCUGAGUGAGUGACAGGCAAAGUGAGUACAGAUCCGACUCUACCACUCCCACAGGCACACGGGGUGCCGUUUGUACAGCCUCACUUUGGAGUUGUGCAAAAAUAUUAAACAGCUGUUACAGGAGGGCCACAGAGCAGCGCAGGUACCUGGAGCUCUGGGCAAGAAUGAGAUCUUAGGACCCAGUCUGGACCUGGAGAUCAGCGGCUGUACUUUAAGAGAAGCCAUCCCGAGGACCGCAGAGGCUCUAUCAGGCACAACCAGGACCGCUGAGGUCAGGAUCUGACUGUUUUUCACACAGCAUCCAGCCUUGCCAGGACAUCCUAGGUCUGUCUGUGUGGGCAGGAACUUUACAUUCUGUGAACACCUACAGGUGGGUGGCGAGCAACUCAGCUUUCCAGGGCAUGGGAGACAGCCCUGGCAGCUAGGAGAGGCUGUGGCUGGCAACCAGCAGAGGUGUAUAGCCUGCUGCCCAGCUCCACCCACACUGCACCAGAGAGCCGGACAGCACUGCCACUGGAGGGCAGCUGGUUCACCUGAGCUGGCACACAUUCUAUGGGUCUGGACAAAUGUUUAAUGACAUACACCUUCUAUUACUAUGUCAUACAACAGCUCCCUGGCCCUAGAACUCCAUGUGUGUAGUCUAUAUAAUACUACCCCACCUCCAGAACCCCAGCAGCCCCAGAUCUUCUCGCUGUUCCCAAAGUCUUGCCACUUGCAGAGUGUCACACUGUAGGAACCCUACAGCCUGAAGCCUUUCAGACUGGCUCACUUAACAGUGUGCAUCUAAGGCUCCCCUGGCAUCUUGAGGCUCGGUAGCACAUUUCUUCCCAGCUCUGAAUGGGUGUUGUUACCAGACUGUGCCCAUUUAUUCACCCACUCACCAAUCACAAGGCAGCUCUGUCACUUCCUAGCUUGGCAGUUGGGAAUGCGGCUGCUGUGGACACCCAUGCAGAGGUUGCAAGGGAAUACCUUGCACACCUAUCCAGAGGUUGCAUGGGAAUAGCUCUUCAGGUCCUGUGGAUAACUACCUGGGGUGUAUUUGUGGGGUGUCUGGGAAGACUACUGAGGUUUCAAGAACCUGCCCAGCUGUCUUUCAUGGCUGCUGUGCCAUUUUGCCUCCUAGCGUGACCAACUCUUGGUGACAUUGGUGUAGGGAACUUGGCACUUCUAAUUAUGGAAAGUGAUAUCUCAUUGACUUAUUUGCAUUUCCCUGAUGCUAUUGGAAAUGGAGCCUCCUUUCACCUAUUCAUGUAAAGUCUCUGCUCUGAGGAGGAAGGGUUUGGGCCUUCAGUACCUUUUUAAAAUCAUGUUCUUCAUUUUCUCAUUGUUGGAUUUCAACAGUUCUUAGCAUAUUUAGGGUAUCAUGUGUCAUUUGUGAAGAUAUUUUUCCUCCUAGUCUGCCUGGAGAAAUGUCUUCCAUGGAAUACAAGUUUAGUUUUGUUUAGGUUUUUAAUUUUUAUUUACGUGUGUGUGUGUGUGUGUGUGUGUGUGUGUGUGUGUGUGUGUGUGUGUACAUGUGUGCAUGUGGGCUCCCUUGGAGACCAGAAGAGGAUGCUAGAUCCCCUGGAGCUGGACUUACAAGUGGCUAUGAACCACUGUUGUAGUUUGCUCUCUAUCACUAUAAUAAAAUAGUAUUACUAUAAUAAAAUACUCAGAAGUUACCUGAGGAGGAGAGGUUUCAUUUUAUCUGACAUUUGCAGGUCACACGCCAUUGUUAGAGAGGUCAGGGCAGGAACCUGGAGGCAGGAACUGAAGCAGAGACCAUGGAAGAGUGCUGCUUAUUAGCUUGCUCUCCAUGGCUUGUAGGGAGAGAUCUUAUUAGGUACCUGUGGUGCUGACCACGCCCAUUUGGGCGUGGCCACAGGUGCGUGAGGGAUUUAAGCCUGAGGAGGAGACAGUCUCUCUCUCUCUCCUCUCUCUCUCUCUCUCUCUCUCUCUCUCUCUCUCUCUCUCUCUCUCUGUGUGUGUGUGUGUGUGUGUGUGUGUGU
RNAcentral lists this long non-coding RNA (4216 nucleotides) under Cricetulus griseus (Chinese hamster). Its description in RNAcentral is "lncRNA (ENSCGRG00015036861.1)". Lineage: Eukaryota; Metazoa; Chordata; Mammalia; Rodentia; Cricetidae. The record is from RNAcentral.